RNAcentral lists this ribosomal RNA (253 nucleotides) under uncultured bacterium. RNAcentral's name for it is "partial 16S ribosomal RNA". It matches the Rfam family "Bacterial small subunit ribosomal RNA", at positions 524 to 776 of the family's 1533-position model. The record is from RNAcentral.
UACGUAGGGUGCAAGCGUUGUCCGGAAUUAUUGGGCGUAAAGAGCUUGUAGGCGGUUUGUCGCGUCUGCUGUGAAAUUUCGGGGCUCAACCCCGAACUUGCAGUGGGUACGGGCAGACUAGAGUGUGGUAGGGGAGACUGGAAUUCCUGGUGUAGCGGUGAAAUGCGCAGAUAUCAGGAGGAACACCGAUGGCGAAGGCGGGAUCCUGGGCCAGUACUGACGCUGAGGAGCGAAAGCGUGGGGAGCAAACAGG